Conger conger (European conger) is the source of this 729-nucleotide long non-coding RNA. RefSeq lists it as uncharacterized. The record is from RefSeq and is a predicted model, not a curated record. Lineage: Eukaryota; Metazoa; Chordata; Actinopteri; Anguilliformes; Congridae. The transcript is spliced from 4 exons.
CAGGACUACACCUACUACCGCUGCUAUAUGUUAUCAUUGCAGCACUGAUUUGUCUGAAAGUGCUGACUGUUGGAUUCUGUCACUACAAAAAUAAAAGGUUGUCUAGAAGGCUGAAGGGAGGGAGGGACGGUGACACAUACGCCAGUCUGCAGGUCGCCAACAUCAGCCCUGAAUAUGACGUGCUGCAGGUUAAAAACAAACACCAGAAAGACACUGUGACCGCACAAGAAGAGGCUGAUGACAAGCAGGACACUGGAGAUGGAAACUGAGACAGACGCAGUGGCUCAUUAAAACUAUCAGCUUGUUGUGUUUCCUUGAAAGCUGAUGUCUUCAAAAAUUUGGGCACCCUUGGUUUAAUUGUCUAAACUUGUUACAAUGAAUCGGUACAUGAUCAAAAGCAAACCUGAACUCUAAAUGGUACAGUUAAACAUUCUUCCAGCAAAUUGUAUUUUCAUUUUUUUAUUAUUUAAAAAUUCUAAAAAGGAAAAGGGGCCUAAAAAUGUGGCAUUUUGGCAUGCAGAAGAAUAUUUCUGAGCUAGUGGUGUUCUGCCCGGAAGAAUGGGGAAAAUUCUAAAACCAAGAAUUGAAAAAAUGAGUACCUCUCCAGGACACGCAUUCACAGCACCAAUUUACCUUUCCUUUGUCCAAGGGACACGCGCGCUCGCACGCGCACACACACACACCCUACUAACUUCCCCUACUAACUUCCCGUUAGUUUAUCUGUUCUGU